GUGCUCGCUUUGGCAGCACAUAUACUAAAAUUGGAAUGAUACAGAGAAGAUUAGCAUGGCCCCUACACAGGGAUGACACACAAAUUCAUGAAAUAUUCUCUUGAAUG
This 107-nucleotide small nuclear RNA is filed under the name Phocoena sinus (vaquita). The record is from RNAcentral. Lineage: Eukaryota; Metazoa; Chordata; Mammalia; Artiodactyla; Phocoenidae. RNAcentral also lists the same sequence under 1 other name.